This 407-nucleotide ribosomal RNA is filed under the name uncultured bacterium. RNAcentral describes it as "partial 16S ribosomal RNA". It matches the Rfam family "Bacterial small subunit ribosomal RNA", at positions 30 to 526 of the family's 1533-position model. The record is from RNAcentral.
AUUGAACGCUGGCGGCAGGCCUAACACAUGCAAGUCGAGCGGAGCGGCGGACGGGUGAGUAAUGCCUAGGAAUCUGCCUGGUAGUGGGGGAUAACGUCCGGAAACGGGCGCUAAUACCGCAUAAUAUCAGAUGAGCCUAGGGCGGAGUAGCUCGUUGGUGGGGUAAAGGCCUACCAAGGCGACGAUCCGUAAAUGGGCUGAGAGGAUGAGCAGUCAAACUGGAACUGAGACACGUUCCAGAGUCCUACGGGAGGCAGCAGUGGGGAAGAGUGGACAAUGGGCGAAAGCCUGAUCCAGCCAUGCCGCGUGUGUGAAGAAGGUCUUCGGAUUGUAAAGCACUUUAAGUUGGGAGGCGUUACCAACAGAAUAAGCACCGGCUAACUUCGUGCCAGCAGACGCGGUAAUUC